GAAAUGCGAUAAGUAAUGUGAAUUGCAGAAUUCCGUGAAUCAUCGAAUCUUUGAACGCACAUUGUGCCCUCUGGUAUUCCGGGGGGCAUGCCUGUCCGAGCGUCAUUGCGAACCCCUCAAGCACGGCUUGUGUGAUGGGCCCUCCCGCGUCUUGGUCGUCAAGACGGGCCCGAAAUGCAGUGGCGGCUUCGCGGUUAUCCGAUCAGCCAGAGCGUAUGGGGACUUUCUCUCUGUCACACGCCCGCGGCGCGGACCGACGCCUGUCGACCUUCAUUCAUCGUUUUCUCGGUUGACCUCGGAUCAGGUAGGGAUACCCGCUGAACUUAAGC
Molecule: unclassified non-coding RNA, 329 nt
Filed under: plant metagenome
Description: partial contains 5.8S ribosomal RNA, internal transcribed spacer 2, and large subunit ribosomal RNA
Rfam family: 5.8S ribosomal RNA (bases 1-105)
Source: RNAcentral